Cucumis sativus (cucumber) is the source of this 524-nucleotide long non-coding RNA. RefSeq lists it as uncharacterized. The record is from RefSeq and is a predicted model, not a curated record. The transcript is spliced from 2 exons. Lineage: Eukaryota; Viridiplantae; Streptophyta; Magnoliopsida; Cucurbitales; Cucurbitaceae.
UUUUUUUAUGAUUAAGACAUUCUUCACUGCUCAAACCCAAAAUUUGUUUUCUUCUCUAUCACUAAAAGCAAUUUUGUUUUCGGUCUAAAGCGAAAUAUGUUUUCUUUUUUGCUUAGCAAUAUUAAUUCUAGGCAAGUUGAGAAUACAUAUUUUGAUCUUGAUUUCUGUUAUACUGUGAAAAGGUUUCUAUAAUGCUUGUUGAUUUCUUCAAUUUGAUCUGAGUAACUUUAUUUUUUUAAGAACAAACGAUCAGAGUUCACCACAUGGUUGGUUGAAAUAAAAAAGAUUUUAAAGAGUUGAAGAUAACAAUCGAUGAGACAUUGAGCUUUGAGUUAUGUGAGAGUUCUUUUUUAACUGAGGUAACUCUCUCUCCCUUGUUUCUUAAUUCUCUCCCUUUGCUUUCCAAAUUGCCUCCCAGGCCAUCUUGCCAUUGUGAAAUACUAUUGGAAUGUGAGUUUAUUGGAAGUUUAAUAGGUAACUGCUUAGAUUCUUCUGCUAAAGUUCAAAAUGUCCACACCUCCCAA